UGAUCAGUCCAUUGCUAGAAGAGGUAACCGAUACUACAAAAUAAUAAACAUAUUCAGGAGUAUGAGCUGUAUCUAACUUUUGAUUUUUUUUUCUGACGAAUAGCAUGUCUUAAUAAGGAGUCCUAUCCUGUUCAUGGUGGUUCUGCACCUCCUACCAUGAGAGUCCGUUCUUUGCUUGGUUCACAAUAUAGCCACAAGAAGAGUGCAGCACAGUCAGCAUCUGGGCAACCAUCAGCAGCUGUAGAAUCAAGCUCGGCUACUUCUUGCCAAUCUACUGGUUUAGCUGAUUCGGAUGUAGAAGCAACUCUCUCACAGAAUAUGUCUUCUAUGUUUUAUGAUGCUUCCAUAUACAUGAAAAAGGACGACAAUGAGGCUCCUGCACCAC
RNAcentral lists this long non-coding RNA (385 nucleotides) under Linum usitatissimum (flax). Its description in RNAcentral is "long non-coding RNA (LUSI_LNC006795)". Lineage: Eukaryota; Viridiplantae; Streptophyta; Magnoliopsida; Malpighiales; Linaceae. The record is from RNAcentral.